This is a long non-coding RNA of Rhododendron vialii, 1350 nucleotides long. RefSeq lists it as uncharacterized. The transcript is spliced from 3 exons. Lineage: Eukaryota; Viridiplantae; Streptophyta; Magnoliopsida; Ericales; Ericaceae. The record is from RefSeq and is a predicted model, not a curated record.
AAUAGAUAACCUGGCUAUGCCCCUGCAUUCAAAUCAUGAGACAUUCAGAUUGAUCAGUUAAGAUGUGUAUUGCUGCUAGAUUUGAUGAUCAUUGUUCAACACUACAACUCUCCUCUUCUCCAAAACUCUUCUUUCACUUGAAGAGGUCAAGCCAAGCACCCCUAAGCUAAUUUAUUUACGUUUAACUAUCGAUUAUGAUUCUAAUCGUUCGUUCAUAUAGCUGCCCGAUGUCCCCAUGCUAAAUUCUUGAAUCCGUCAAGGUUCUUCAGAAGUUGGGGUAGUGCUGUGUCCACUUUGCCCUCCCCCGACCCACCUAACAGGAGCCUCGUGCACUCAUUUUUAUCCUUUUUCUCAAGUAGGUUUUAGAAAAGUCUAGUAUUGAUUUCAAACAUCAAAUGCAUGAAGGGUAGCCAAUGGCAGCUCCACAGGGCUACCAGGGGUUCAAGCAGAUGACCUGUUGAUAGUAUUCAAAAGAAAUCUAUGGAAAGUUUCUUUGAAGUUCCUUAAUUGGGCAAUCCGAUCAACCAAGGAAAAAGACGUAAUGUCAUGUUGAUGCCAUUGGUUCUUGGUUUUGUGGAUGAAAUUCCAAAAUAGAGGCCCUCGGUAUGAACGGGUUAUUCACAUUUCUUUUGAUGAUCAUAGACAUCGAAUUUAAAGCUAAGCAGAUUAGUGACGUGUUCAUAUUAGAGUUGGUGCUAAUACUUACCGUUUGGCUAGAAUAGCAAGUAAGUUGCUGGAGUUGUGCAAAACCUAAUCGCAGAGCAUUGUUGGAUCAUGUCUUCUUCCAUGACAAGUACCAGCUCUGGUAAUAGCAAACAACGUUCAAGCCCUAGUUUGAUUGUGUUUUGUAAAUGUGGAAUUAGGGCUCCACUUGUUACAUUCAAGACAAAUGACACCCAGGUAGAAGGUUCUUGGGUUGCAUAAAUUACUAGAAGCCGAAUGGUUGUUCUUUUUUUACAUGGUAUGACCCCCCUACUUGUGCUAGAGGAAUGGAUUAUGGAAGGCAUAUUAUGUCAAGAAAAUUGGUCAAAUUGCAGGCUGAAAAUGAAGAGCUUAUAAGGAAAAAACGAAACAACGGUAAUGAAAAUUGAGGAAUUGAUGAGCUCAAAUGUGAGUGUGGCCAAAAAAGUUCAAGAGUUGUGCGACAACCACCAUCAGUUAUCGAAGAGAAAUGAAGAGUUGGUGAAGUCUUUUACAUUGUCUGAAGCCAAAGUGUUGAAGCUCCAGCUUUUGUUGAUUGUUCUUUUAGUUAUGGGCUUUGCCAUUUGUUUUAGGUCUGUGAACAAAUGAAACAUAUUGUUCUUGCCAAGAGGUCAUUUGAUGAAUGUAAUGAAACUAAGUGGAUGAAUG